GCUCCUUGGUGAUUCAUAAUAACUUAACGAAUCGCAUGGCCUUGUGCCGGCGAUGGUUCAUUCAAAUUUCUGCCCUAUCAACUUUCGAUGGUAGAGUAGUGGUCUACCAUGGUUUCAACGGGUAACGGGGAAUUAGGGUUCUAUUCCGGAGAGGGAGCCUGAGAAACGGCUACCACAUCCAAGGAAGGCAGCAGGCGCGCAAAUUACCCAAUCCCGACACGGGGAGGUAGUGACAAUAAAUACUGAUACAGGGCUCUUUUGGGUCUUGUAAUUGGAAUGAGUACAAUUUAAAUCCCUUAACGAGGAACAAUUGGAGGGCAAGUCUGGUGCCAGCAGCCGCGGUAAUUCCAGCUCCAAUAGCGUAUAUUAAAGUUGUUGCAGUUAAAAAAGCUCGUAGUUGAACCUUGGGCCUGGCUGGCCGGUCCGCUUCACCGGUGCACUGGUCCCGGGCGGGCCUUUUCCUUCUGGGGGAACCCUAUGGCCUUCACUGGGUGUGUCCGGGGAAACCAGGAACUUUUACUUUUGGAAAAAAUUCAGAGUGUUCAAGGCAAGGGCCUUAUGGUUCCGAAU
This 570-nucleotide ribosomal RNA is filed under the name uncultured fungus. RNAcentral's name for it is "SSU rRNA". It matches the Rfam family "Eukaryotic small subunit ribosomal RNA", at positions 238 to 800 of the family's 1831-position model. The record is from RNAcentral. Lineage: Eukaryota; Fungi.